AUUGAACGCUGGCGGCAGGCCUAACACAUGCAAGUCGAACGAGUGGCGGACGGGUGAGUAAUGUCUGGGAAACUGCCCGAUGGUGGGGGAUAACUACUGGAAACGGUAGCUAAUACCGCAUACCAUCGGAUGUGCCCAGAUGGGAUUAGCUAGUAGGUGGGGUAACGGCUCACCUAGGCGACGAUCCCUAGCUGGUCUGAGAGGAUGACCAGACACACUGGAAGGGAGGCACGGUCCAGACUCCUACGGGAGGGAGCAGUGGGGAAUAUUGCACAAUGGGCGCGAGCCUGAUGCAGCCAUGCCGCGUGUAUGGAGGAGGCCUUCGGGUUGUAAAGUACUUUCAGCGGGGAGGCGUUACUCGCAGAAGAAGCACCGGCUAACUCCGUGCCAGCAGCCGCGGUAAUAC
Molecule: ribosomal RNA, 406 nt
Filed under: uncultured bacterium
Lineage: Bacteria
Description: partial 16S ribosomal RNA
Rfam family: Bacterial small subunit ribosomal RNA
Source: RNAcentral